Molecule: unclassified non-coding RNA, 306 nt
Filed under: plant metagenome
Description: partial contains 5.8S ribosomal RNA, internal transcribed spacer 2, and large subunit ribosomal RNA
Rfam family: 5.8S ribosomal RNA (bases 1-105)
Source: RNAcentral
GAAAUGCGAUAAGUAAUGUGAAUUGCAGAAUUCAGUGAAUCAUCGAAUCUUUGAACGCACAUUGCGCCCGCCAGUAUUCUGGCGGGCAUGCCUGUCCGAGCGUCAUUUCAACCAUCAAGCCCCCGGGCUUGUGUUGGGGACCUGCGGCUGCCCGCAGGCCCUGAAAACCAGUGGCGGGCUCGCUGUCACACCGAGCGUAGUAGCAAUCACCUCGCUCAGGGCGAGCUGCGGGUUCCGGCCGUUAAACAGCCUUACAAAACCCAAGGUUGACCUCGGAUCAGGUAGGAAGACCCGCUGAACUUAAGC